CUUUAAACUUUGUGAAAAUACUCCCCCACAAAUUUUGAUAUCAAGCGUACGCUUUUUUUAAUUUUCUCUUUCCACUUAUACGCUCUUUUCUUAUACGCUCUUUUCUAAGCCUUCAAAUCAUUAUCUCCUUUAACUAUCUUCUUCUCCGAAUAAUUGUCUUUCUAACAUCAUUUUACUAUAUUUCCUUUUUAACCUAGAAGUAAUUGGGCAGAUCUUUCUCUUGAAGAAGUAAUAAUCCAAAACACCAUAAGAGGAUGAACCUGUUGUGGAGGACGUGAAAGACGAUGAAUAUGCCGACAAGGAGGAUGAUACCUUCGGUGUAAAUGGGAGUCGAAAACAGAGAAGAAUUGAAAAGAAAAUCUAUGUGAUUCUGAAGUAGUUGAUCUUAAAAAAACAUAAAGAAGAUGAGAUUGCAAAAGUUAGCAAUAAUUUAGAUCUCUCCCUCUUCUAUAAAAGAACAGGGGUUGCCAAGGUUGGUGGAAUUGCUAGACACGAUAAUGGUUGCUUGCUGGUUAGGUAGUUUUGCUGCUAAUCUUGGAAAGGGUUCGGUCCAUGGUGCUGAAUUGCAGGGAGUUUAUUUCAGUUUGCAAAUGGCUUGGAAGUUGUGGAAUUUGAUAACAGAAUAGUUGUUGAUAAGCUGAAUGGUAACAGUUUUCAUGGCUUUCAUGCUAAUAUCGCAGCUGCUAUCUGAGCUUUAAUGAAUAGAAAUUGGGAAAUUUUAAUCACUCACGUUAACAGAGAAGCUAACUUUACAGCGGCAUCUUCGAGUGAUGAUGAUAUAGCUGGUUUUAUUUUUCAUGAUAACCCUCCAAGAAGUCUUUUGCAAUGGUUGAUGCAUGAUGAACAUGGAGUAGCUUACUGCAGAAGGAUUGCUAUAGAUUAGUUUUCAGGCUUAUGCUUCUAAUUCUUGUAACAAAAAAAAGUGUUUGGUUUAUAAAAAUUGCAUGCACAAAAUUAUUAAAAAUCAAACUAUGUAAAAUAUCUGUAUAUUAUUAUUAAUUUGUAUUUAAUUGGUUGAA
Molecule: long non-coding RNA, 1019 nt
Organism: Mercurialis annua (annual mercury)
Lineage: Eukaryota; Viridiplantae; Streptophyta; Magnoliopsida; Malpighiales; Euphorbiaceae
Exons: 2
Source: RefSeq, a predicted model, not a curated record